RNAcentral lists this ribosomal RNA (460 nucleotides) under uncultured bacterium. RNAcentral's name for it is "partial 16S ribosomal RNA". It matches the Rfam family "Bacterial small subunit ribosomal RNA", at positions 338 to 795 of the family's 1533-position model. The record is from RNAcentral.
CCUACGGUAGGCAGCAGUGAGGAAUAUUGGUCAAUGGACGUAAGUCUGAACCAGCCAAGUCGCGUGCAGGAUGAAGGUUCUAUGGGUCGUAAACCGCUUUUAUACGGGGAUAAAGUCCGAUACGUGUCCCUUUUUGUAUGUACCUUAUGAAUAAGGAUCGGCUAACUCCGUGCCAGCAGCCGCGGUAAUACGGAGGAUCCGAGCGUUAUCCGGAUUUAUUGGGUUUAAAGGGUGCGUAGGCGGUCGGUUAAGUAAGCGGUGAAAUCCUGUGGCUCAACCACGGAAUUGCCUCUGAUACUGGGAGGCUGGAGAAUGUUUGCGGUAGGCGGAAUGUGUGGUGUAGCGGUGAAAUGCUUAGAUAUCAUGCAGAACACCGAUUGCGAAGGCAGCUUGCCAAGCCAUGACUGACGUUGAGGCACGAAAGCGUGGGGAUCAAACAGGAUUAGAUACCCUAGUAGUC